This 190-nucleotide unclassified non-coding RNA is filed under the name rhizosphere metagenome. RNAcentral's name for it is "partial ribosomal RNA internal transcribed spacer region". The record is from RNAcentral.
GUAGGUGAACCUGCGGAAGGAUCAUUACCGUGGGGUUUCGGCCCCAUUGAGAUAGCACCCUUUGUUUAUGAGUACCCUUGUUUCCUCGGCGGGCUUGCCCGCCGUGAGGACAUUAAAAACCCUUUGUAGUAGCAGUAACUUCAGUUAAUAGUAAAUAUUAAAACUUUCAACAACGGAUCUCUUGGUUCUG